Malaya genurostris is the source of this 1134-nucleotide long non-coding RNA. RefSeq lists it as uncharacterized. The transcript is spliced from 3 exons. Lineage: Eukaryota; Metazoa; Arthropoda; Insecta; Diptera; Culicidae. The record is from RefSeq and is a predicted model, not a curated record.
AGUCACGUUUGUCAUGAUUCAAAUAAGUCAGCCGCCGCUUGAAAUAAUUCCCUUCCGUGUAAAAAGUUAAGCAUCUCUAAUCAGAUGAAGAAUGAACACCGGCGGCUAAUCUACAUUUCUUUGCGCAUACAAACUUUUUCUCUUCUUUAUAUAACCGAUCGGUCUCACUAUAUUGCAAAACCAAUACGAAUGGUUAGGUUUCAGCCUCCGAAGAGUCCUCUUUCGCGUAGUCUUAUCAAUGUUCGCCAGAUAACGAUUUGAACGCAAAAAGGGUAUUGGCGCGAGAUGGUUGAAUGCAUAAGAUUCGAGAGGGAAUGAGCUAACGAAUCUUAAAACUAUUGUCCAAGAAGUUCGGUUUUCGAAAAUACGAAUCUUACUUCGGUAAAAUUACGUACUUCCGGUUAGCUAAGACUGAAAUUCGGCAUUCUGAGGGUUUUAGGGAAAAGAUCUAAUCCAUUUCCAUCUAGACCGUGGAAGAGGCUAGAGUGCGUGUUUUUACUUUUGUUCCGCGGUGCGUGUUAGAAGGUGUUGCGUUAAUAUUAGCAGUAGAAAGUGCGGGAAAAGAUCGUGUGCGUUGGAAGGAAAUUAUAACAAAGCCGUGCGACGGCUUUUUAUUCCCUACUUUAGACGCUCUUCGGCUCGCCGCACCGUUCUUCAUCCAGCGACGCGCUCUAGACCCCACGCUCUGGCUUGGAAAUUCUGGCAAUCUCCGUCAAAAUCGCCAGAAGGGCGAAGUUCGUCAUUUUCCGCCCAUCAGAGCCACACGUCACAACCAACCGGUGUGCACGUUUUUUGUUGCUGACAGCAGUCCGGCGUUCCGACACUGUCAGCAGUUACCCACGAAGGACGUCCAGCCGUAAACCCGCUCCGACGUCGGCAUACCGAAACGCCGUCAGCGCAGAAUCAUUCGUAUCGACGCCAGCAUCGUCAUCAUUCGGCGGAGCGUCGCAAUACAAGCAGGUAGCAGCGAAGAAAGCUGUAAGUACGCUAUAAAUUAAAUCCAUGCGCAUGGUUAAAAGGGGGUAGCCUAGACACCCACCUAAAAGUGAGCUUUAAAUCUAGUAUUAUGGCACCUUAACGAAGAUAGCUAGAUAUCCACCCGCACACAGUUAGGUACCAAUUAGUAUAGGCAAC